UACGAAGGGGGCUAGCGUUGUUCGGAAUUACUGGGCGUAAAGAGCUCGUAGGCGGUUCAGUCAGUCGGGUGUGAAAUCUCCGGGCUCAACUCGGAGGGGCCACCCGAUACUGCUGUGACUCGAGUCCGGUAGGGGAGUGGGGAAUUCCUGGUGUAGCGGUGAAAUGCGCAGAUAUCAGGAGGAACACCGAUGGCGAAGGCAGGUCUCUGGGCCACUACUGACGCUGAGGCGCGAAAGCGUGGGGAGCAAACAGG
RNAcentral lists this ribosomal RNA (254 nucleotides) under uncultured bacterium. RNAcentral describes it as "partial 16S ribosomal RNA". It matches the Rfam family "Bacterial small subunit ribosomal RNA", at positions 524 to 776 of the family's 1533-position model. The record is from RNAcentral.